This 690-nucleotide ribosomal RNA is filed under the name Triticum aestivum (bread wheat). Its description in RNAcentral is "partial small subunit ribosomal RNA". The record is from RNAcentral. Lineage: Eukaryota; Viridiplantae; Streptophyta; Magnoliopsida; Poales; Poaceae.
AAUGCUGAAGAAACUGCUAGAUUACUUGCAAUUGGAGAGCAAAGGGGGUUUCUGGGUAUGCUCGGAAGCAUCGACUGCAUGCAUUGGAAGUGGAAAAAUUGCCCUACUGCACACAAAGGUUUUUUUGUUGGCCAUAAACGCGUACCCACGGUCAUUCUUGAAGCCGUUGCUUCACAAGACCUUUGGAUUUGGCAUUCUUUCUUUGGUUUACCAGGAUCUCAUAAUGAUAUAAAUGUCCUCCACCGUUCACCCGUGUUUGCAAACCUAGUUGAAGGGCAUGCUCCAGAAGUGAAUUAUACCAUCAAUGGUCACAACUACAACAUGGGGUAUUACCUUGCAGAUGGCAUAUAUCCGCAGUGGGCAACAUUUGUGAAGACAAUUCCAAAUCCAAAAGGUGAGAAAAACAAAAAUUUCUCCCGGUUUCAAGAAGCAUAUCGGAAGGAUGUCGAACGAGCCUUUGGUGUUCUGCAAGCUCGUUUUGCUACUGUACGUGGGCCGGCAAGGUAUUGGGAUCUGGAGACACUCGGAGAAGUGAUGACAGCUUGUAUCAUCCUGCAUAACAUGAUAAUUGAAGACGAGCGUGGAAGUCAUGUAGACUACCGCUACGAUAACAUGGGAGAACUAGUGACACCUUCUCACCGAGAGGCGGCUACAUUGACUCAGUUUCUUCAAGCUCAGAGUGAUAUUCGA